Molecule: unclassified non-coding RNA, 210 nt
Filed under: Hevea brasiliensis (rubber tree)
Lineage: Eukaryota; Viridiplantae; Streptophyta; Magnoliopsida; Malpighiales; Euphorbiaceae
Source: RNAcentral
AAAAUGGUGAAGUCAUUCUUAGCUUUAUGUGAAAACCCUCACAGGUUCACAAUGAGAAACUGUGUAAAUGUUGAGACUGACAGUGAGAUCGAUAGUUGAUCAUGAUAUUUGAAUUUAAAACUUUAAUUAAAAAAUUAGAAUUAUAUAUAUUCAAUCAUUUUUGGAAGUUUCAUUAUUCCAUGGACUUAGAGAGAAAUUCCCAUUAAGCAA